AUUGAACGCUGGCGGCAGGCCUAACACAUGCAAGUCGAGCGGAUGAAGGGAGCUUUCUCCUGGCUUCAGCUGCGGACGGGUGAGUAAUGCCUAGGAAUCUGCCUUGUAUUUGGGGAUAACGUCCGGACACGGGCGCUAAUACCGCAUACGUCCUUAUGUAGAAAGGGGGGGAUCUUCGGACCUCACGCUAUCAGAUGAGCCUAGGUCGGAUUGGCUAGUUGGUUUGGUAAAGGCCUACCCAGGCGACGAUCCGUAACUGGUCUGAGAGGAUGAUCCGUCAAACUGGAACUGAGACACGGUCCAGACUCCUAAGGGAGGCCGCAGUGGGGAAUAUUGGCCAAUGGGCGGAAGGCUGAUCCAGGCAUGCCGGGUGUGUGGAGAAGGUCUUCCGAUUGUAAAGACCUUUAAGUUGGGAGAAAGGGAAGUAAGUUAAUACCUUGCUGUUUUGAAGUUACCAAAAGAAUAAGCACAGGCUAACUUCGUG
This 484-nucleotide ribosomal RNA is filed under the name uncultured bacterium. RNAcentral describes it as "partial 16S ribosomal RNA". It matches the Rfam family "Bacterial small subunit ribosomal RNA", at positions 30 to 507 of the family's 1533-position model. The record is from RNAcentral.